UGAAACGACUGCUAAGACUGGAUAGGAGACAAGAAGGCAUCUUUUUGUUUUUAAAAGACCUAGCAAUAGGUAUGCUUAGGGAGGAGCUUGCGUCACAUUAGUUAGUUGGUGGGGUAAAGGCUUACCAAGACUAUGAUGUGUAGCCGGGCUGAGAGGUUGAACGGCCACAUUGGGACUGAGACACGGCCCAAACUCCUACGGGAGGCAGCAGUAGGGAAUUUUCGGCAAUGGAGGAAACUCUGACCGAGCAACGCCGCGUGAACGAUGAAGUAUUUCGGUACGUAAAGUUCUUUUAUUAGGGAAGAAUAAAUGAUGGAAAAAUCAUUCUGACGGUACCUAAUGAAUAAGCCCCGGCUAACUAUGUGCCAGCAGCCGCGGUAAUACAUAGGGGGCAAGCGUUAUCCGGAAUUAUUGGGCGUAAAGGGUGCGUAGGCGGUUAAAUAAGUUUAUGGUCUAAGUGCAAUGCUUAACAUUGUGAUGCUAUAAAAACUGUUUAGCUAGAGUAAGAUAGAGGCAAGUGGAAUUCCAUGUGUAGUGGUAAAAUGCGUAAAUAUAUGGAGGAACACCAGUAGCGAAGGCGGCUUGCUGGGUCUUUACUGACGCUGAGGCACGAAAGCGUGGGGAGCAAACAGGAUUAGAUACCCUGGUAGUCCACGCCGUAAACGAUGAGUACUAAAUGUUGGGUAAAACCAGUGUUGAAGUUAACACAUUAAGUACUCCGCCUGAGUAGUACGUACGCAAGUAUGAAACUUAAAGGAAUUGACGGGACUCCGCACAAGCGGUGGAUCAUGUUGUUUAAUUCGAAGGUACCCGAAAAACCUCACCAGGUCUUGACAUGCUUCUGCAAAGCUGUAGAAACACAGUGGAGGUUAUCAGUUGCACAGGUGGUGCAUGGUUGUCGUCAGCUCGUGUCGUGAGAUGUUGGGUUAAGUCCCGCAACGAGCGCAACCCUUAUUGUUAGUUGCCAGCACGUAAUGGUGGGGACUUUAGCAAGACUGCCAGUGAUAAAUUGGAGGAAGGUGGGGACGACGUCAAAUCAUCAUGCCCCUUAUGACCUGGGCUACAAACGUGAUACAAUGGCUGUUACAAAGGGUAGCUGAAACGUAAGUUUUUGGCGAAUCUCAAAAAAACAGUCUCAGUUCGGAUUGAAGUCUGCAACUCGACUUCAUGAAGUUGGAAUCGCUAGUAAUCGCGAAUCAGCAUGUCGCGGUGAAUACGUUCUCGGGGUUUGUA
This 1233-nucleotide ribosomal RNA is filed under the name Cirsium yellows phytoplasma. RNAcentral describes it as "bacterial SSU rRNA". It matches the Rfam family "Bacterial small subunit ribosomal RNA", at positions 152 to 1385 of the family's 1533-position model. Lineage: Bacteria; Bacillati; Mycoplasmatota; Mollicutes; Acholeplasmatales; Acholeplasmataceae. The record is from RNAcentral.